RNAcentral lists this ribosomal RNA (253 nucleotides) under uncultured bacterium. RNAcentral's name for it is "partial 16S ribosomal RNA". It matches the Rfam family "Bacterial small subunit ribosomal RNA", at positions 524 to 776 of the family's 1533-position model. The record is from RNAcentral.
UACGAGGGGGGCAAGCGUUGUUCGGAAUUACUGGGCGUAAAGGGCGCGUAGGCGGCUUGGCAAGUUGGAUGUGAAAGCCCAGGGCUCAACCCUGGAAUUGCAUUCAAGACUGCCUUGCUUGAAUUCGGUAGAGGUUGGUGGAAUUCCCAGUGUAGAGGUGAAAUUCGUAGAUAUUGGGAAGAACACCGGUGGCGAAGGCGGCCAUCUGGCCCGUAAUUGACGCUGAGGCGCGAAAGCGUGGGGAGCAAACAGG